This 76-nucleotide transfer RNA is filed under the name Bacillus amyloliquefaciens. RNAcentral's name for it is "tRNA-Met". It matches the Rfam family "tRNA". Rfam says of the family: Transfer RNA (tRNA) molecules are approximately 80 nucleotides in length. Lineage: Bacteria; Bacillati; Bacillota; Bacilli; Caryophanales; Bacillaceae. RNAcentral also lists the same sequence under 3 other names. The record is from RNAcentral.
CGCGGGUGGAGCAGUUCGGUAGCUCGUCGGGCUCAUAACCCGAAGGUCGCAGGUUCAAAUCCUGCCCCCGCAACCA